Molecule: ribosomal RNA, 500 nt
Filed under: uncultured bacterium
Lineage: Bacteria
Description: partial 16S ribosomal RNA
Rfam family: Bacterial small subunit ribosomal RNA
Source: RNAcentral
AGUGAACGCUGGCGGCAGGCCUAACACAUGCAAGCCGAGCGGUAGAGAGAAGCUUGCUUCUCUUGAGAGCGGCGGACGGGUGAGUAAUGCCUAGGAAUCUGCCUGGUAGUGGGGGAUAACGUUCGGAAACGGACGCUAAUACCGCAUACCUCCUACGGGAGAAAGCAGGGGACCUUCGGGCCUUGCGCUAUCAGAUGAGCCUAGGUCGGAUUAGCUAGUUGGUGGGGUAAUGGCUCACCAAGGCGACGAUCCGUAACUGGUCUGAGAGGAUGAUCAGUCACACUGGAACAGAGACACGGUCCAGUCACCUACGGGAGGCAGCAGUGGGGAAUAUUGGACAAUGGGCGAAAGCCUGAUCCAGCCAUGCCGCGUGUGUGAAGAAGGUCUUCGGAUUGUAAAGCACUUUAAGUUGGGAGGAAGGGCAGUAAAUUAAUACUUUGCUGUUUUGACGUUACCGACAGAAUAAGCACCGGCUAACUCUGUGCCAGCCGCCGCCGUAA